RNAcentral lists this transfer RNA (72 nucleotides) under Candidatus Rifleibacteriota bacterium. RNAcentral describes it as "tRNA-Asn". It matches the Rfam family "tRNA". Rfam says of the family: Transfer RNA (tRNA) molecules are approximately 80 nucleotides in length. Their secondary structure includes four short double-helical elements and three loops (D, anti-codon, and T loops). Further hydrogen bonds mediate the characteristic L-shaped molecular structure. tRNAs have two regions of fundamental functional importance: the anti-codon, which is responsible for specific mRNA codon recognition, and the 3' end, to which the tRNAs corresponding amino acid is attached (by aminoacyl-tRNA synthetases). tRNAs cope with the degeneracy of the genetic code in two manners: having more than one tRNA (with a specific anti-codon) for a particular amino acid; and 'wobble' base-pairing, i.e. permitting non-standard base-pairing at the 3rd anti-codon position. The record is from RNAcentral. Lineage: Bacteria; Candidatus Rifleibacteriota.
UCCCAAGUAGCUCAGUGGUAGAGCAGUCGGCUGUUAACCGACUGGUCGGGGGUUCAAGUCCCUCCUUGGGAG